RNAcentral lists this ribosomal RNA (492 nucleotides) under uncultured bacterium. RNAcentral describes it as "partial 16S ribosomal RNA". It matches the Rfam family "Bacterial small subunit ribosomal RNA", at positions 29 to 507 of the family's 1533-position model. The record is from RNAcentral.
AGUGAACGCUGGCGGUAGGCCUAACACAUGCAAGUCGAACGGCAGCACAGUAAGAGCUUGCUCUUACGGGUGGCGAGUGGCGGACGGGUGAGGAAUACAUCGGAAUCUACUUUUUCGUGGGGGAUAACGUAGGGAAACUUACGCUAAUACCGCAUACGACCUACGGGUGAAAGCAGGGGAUCUUCGGACCUUGCGCGAUUGAAUGAGCCGAUGUGGGAUUAGCUAGUUGGCGGGGUAAAGGCCCACCAAGGCGACGAUCCGUAGCUGGUCUGAGAGGAUGAUCAGCCACACUGGAACUGAGACACGGUCCAGGCUCCUACGGGAGGCAGCAGUGGGGAAUAUUGGACCAUGGGCGCAAGCCUGAUCCAGCCAUACCGCGUGGGUGAAGAAGGCCUUCGGGUUGUAAAGCCCUUUUGUUGGGAAAGAAAAGCAGCAGGUUAAUACCCCGCUGUUCUGACGGUACCCAAAGAAUAAGCACCGGCUAACUUCGUG